This is a long non-coding RNA of Triticum aestivum (bread wheat), 2604 nucleotides long. RefSeq lists it as uncharacterized. The transcript is spliced from 2 exons. The record is from RefSeq and is a predicted model, not a curated record. Lineage: Eukaryota; Viridiplantae; Streptophyta; Magnoliopsida; Poales; Poaceae.
ACGAGACCCUCCUGCUCCUGCUCCUCCUCCUCCUCCCUCACCCGGCGGCGGCUUCCUACCUCUGCCUGCGCCCCGCCUCUUCCUCCUUCUCAGCGGCAGCGAUGAGCAUGAGAGCAGCGGAAGCGGCUGGAAGCCACAAGCUGGCCGAGGUGGUCUACAGCGAGGAACGGUCGCGCUCGACGCCGUCCUCCAACCCGUACUUCCCAACCCGAUGCAUACCCAAGGAUUCUGGCGUAGCUCGAAGGAAGGACCAAGGCCUGGGACGACGCGCCUUGUCCUUGUCUUCCUCUAACAUCUCCCUGUCGACUGCUGCUUAUUAGGGAGGGAGGAAGGGAGGGAAAAAGAUAGAUGGCAUCGGCGGCUGGAGCUGGCUGAGUUAUUUGGGGACCUGCGCACACGUCGAGCGACGGCGAGCACAUCCGACGGCAACACACCAAGAGUCCUCAUCUUCGUAUCAGUGUCCCUCAAUUUUCUGUUGGCCAAAACAAAAGAUGUAAUCUAUUGUUGAAAGGCCAACUUGUCUGCAAAAUACUUUGCGAACUGCGGCACGGUGAGGUACAUCCUUGUAUUUUCUGGUUUAUUUUUCCGAUGCGAGAAGUGCAGGAGCACUAUCGGUUGCUCACUUAUGUAUAUAAUAAUCAUCGGUUGUUGUUUUUAUUCGUCAAAAGAAGUUCUGUGUGAGUUAGAGCCUAGAGGUUAUAGGUAACAAGGGCGCGUGAUCCUAUUAAAUGGAAGGGAUGUAAUUAUUUGUCCAAGUGAUAUUGAAGUUACAUUUGAGAAUUUUGCCUACCACUUUAGGUGAUGCUUUGACUUAAUGUUCCUUUCAUUUGCUUUGGCGUCUAAUCCUGUUUAUUAGCUUCUUCAUAUACUGUAUAUCUGAAACUUUUAUUACAUUUUAUUAGUCCAAGUGAAAGCAUCUGUAACUGCAUGUAGAUAUAUUUUGUCAACCCGUGUAACAUUGCCUUUUAAAUAUGAUUAUGAUUUUCAUUAUGUGCAACUCUGCCCAGAUUGAGUAGCAGGUUGUUUAUCACGUGCCUAGAUGAGGUCACUAUGGUGGUACUGAAAAGUGAUGCUCUAAUGUUCAUAUGUGUUAUGGAGUUGGUUCUUUUGAAGUUAAAGUAGUUGUGUAUUAUGCUCUUCUUAGGUUUUAAGCCUAGGUGAGGGCAUCAUAUGUGCUAAUGUACGUUGUUUUCAAUCCGCCUGCGUUUGAUUUUUUUUACCUCUUCUAGGUUGUUUUGCUUAUUGUGGUUUCCCUCUAUUCCACAAGGUCUGUCAGCUGCUAGGAUUUAAGGUGUAGGAACUUACGGGUUGUUGUUUCUGUUGCUGAUUAGAGCUUUGGUUAAGAUGCUUUCUUUUUUAGUUUAGUCGGCAUUCUGUUGUUGCCCUUAUGAUAAAUUGUUAGUUAGACUUGUGCUUAACUAGCGAUUCUUACAGAGUUGUACUUUCACUGAGAAGAAAAGGCUAUACUUUUUACUAACAAAGAUGUCAAUAUUGCUGCUUUCUGCCCAUAGUUUCACUGUCCUUUUUUAUAGUUUAUUUAUAGCAGAUGAAUACAUGAAUAUAGCCCUCCUAUUUUAGAGUAUGAAUCAGAAUCUAAAUUAGCAAUUCUAAAAAUGAUCAAUAACUUCAAUUUCAUCAUAUAUGCAGUGUCCCCAAUUUUAUUUUAUUUUCCUUUUUGGUUCUAUAGGAUUGAGAUCUAUACUUUGCCUUAAACUGAAUUUGAUGUUGUUCAUGCAUCUGAUGUCACUUAGAUUUUAGGAAUUUUAGGAUGGAUGGCAAGUUUCCCAUGUUGGAUGUUUCCUUAAUUUCUCAAAUCUUUGUGAUAAUCUAGGUGAUUCUAUUUCUACCUCAGGACUUGCCUUUCUCUGUUUCAGUUUCAAAAAGAUAUUAUUUGAGGUUAGAUGACCCUUAAUCAGUUCGUUUCAUGUGGACAGACGACUAAUGGUAUUGUUCCAAGAAGACAAGCAAGUGCGUAUUAUGUAGUUGUAGGUAUCAAUUUUUUCUCAUUCCGAUGAUUCUGAAGCAAUUAAAUUGGUAUGAUCACUUCAUCCCCCAAUUUCUCUGUCAAAGCUUACUUUGUCCAUCGUCAUACCAAAAUGAGUUACUCUAUUUCCUAUAGCUCUAUUAUUACUAUUUCCAUCAGAACGUGUCUCUCAGUUCUCCUUUAUAAUAUCAUGCUCAGAGGCACGAAUGCAAAAUGUGCUUGAAUUAUGGUGUUGGUUUUAAGAAAAAUGUGUGAAUGGAAUAAGAACUAUAUUUUUUUUAGGGAGAUAAGUAUAUAUUACUUUGAUUGUUGAAUCGGCCUAUGUGUAACUUCACGUUCUGUCGUUUGUGGAUACAUUUGUAAAGAAGUGACAUGGCUUACUAACCAUAUUAAAUUUUGUCUUUGGAUAUGGAAUAAAGGUGGGAGAGCAAAUGUGUUGUCGAAGUCCGACGAGAUUAAAUAGCAGGUUGACUCUUUGUAGUGCUUGUUCAAAUGUAUGUCAGGUGUUUUGUUAUCUAAAAAAAAACACAUUAUCCUGCCUUUGUUUUUACAUCGAGGUGUAAAUGUUGAGAAGUAUAUUAUUCUGAUUGAUAAUAGUUUGAGGAUCACUACAAAGGAUC